GGUUGUCGUCAGCUCGUGUCGUGAGAUGUUGGGUUAAGUCCCGCAACGAGCGCAACCCCUACGUUUAGUUGCUAACGCGUGAAGGCGAGCACUCUAGACGAACUGCCGUUGACAAAAACGGAGGAAGGUGGGAUGACGUCAAAUCAUCAUGCCCCUUAUGUUCUGGGCUACACACGUGCUACAAUGGCCGGUACAGACGGACGCAAAGCCGCGAGGUGGAGCAAAUCCUAAAAAGCCGGUCUCAGUUCGGAUUGCAGGCUGCAAUUCGCCUGCAUGGAAGUCGGAAUCGCUAGUAAUCGCAGGUCAGCAUACUGCGGUGAAUACGUUCCCGGGCCUU
This 337-nucleotide ribosomal RNA is filed under the name uncultured Pelotomaculum sp. RNAcentral describes it as "bacterial SSU rRNA". It matches the Rfam family "Bacterial small subunit ribosomal RNA", at positions 1047 to 1382 of the family's 1533-position model. Lineage: Bacteria; Bacillati; Bacillota; Clostridia; Eubacteriales; Desulfotomaculaceae. The record is from RNAcentral.